Molecule: long non-coding RNA, 1102 nt
Filed under: Salvia miltiorrhiza (redroot sage)
Lineage: Eukaryota; Viridiplantae; Streptophyta; Magnoliopsida; Lamiales; Lamiaceae
Description: long non-coding RNA (SMIL_LNC011473)
Source: RNAcentral
CAGGUCUUGCAAGAGGAAGUAGAUGGAUAGAAGAAGAAUGUUGUUAAGUUUACCUUGCGUCAACAAGAAAGACGUUCCCAUCACAAUCAUUGUGAAUCAAGAAUCCAUGCAAGCUCAGAGGAAGAAAGUGUCGAUGCAAAUUCCAAAACCUCAUGGUGCCGUGGCCAGUGCUGCUAGAAGACUGCAUCAAAAUAAAGGCUCUAUAAUUAUUUAAAAACUUUUGAGGGGACUAAUUGCAAAAGUAAUACAAGAAUGAGCUUUUUUACUAAGGCUAUCUCCUCUUAGAGCACCAUCUCCUCUAUUCAUCUUGUCAUUUGUCAUCUUGGCUAAUUUAUUUUACCUAAAGAAUGAGAUAAAGUAAAAACAAAUUAUCUUGAUUGUUGUAGAAUUAUCUAAGGGAACCAGUAUUAAUUUCAUAUGCUUAAUAACUUAACUAAAGGCACCUCUAGAAACCUAACCAUCUGGAGUUCAGACCAAAAAGAGCACCAAUUUCUACAGCUACAUCAGACAAGAACCAAUUUUAUAGAGACAAAUGCAUACUUGAGAGUGAUAACAGAUCAUUUCUUCAAAUCAUAGAUUCAAAUACAUAGAACCGCUAGAAGCUUUUCCUUGUCAGAUUCAAAUCAACAUAAUUAUAUAUGAAGAGAAGAGCUACACAGAAAAAGCUAUAAAAAAACUGGCCUUAAUUUGACGAAAGCUGCCCAAUGCGUGCGUGAGAUUGAAAUAUAACAUUUCGUCUGUGGAGUACGAUUCAAAGCUCCACGGCGCAGCUGACUCUGACGGUGAAGACAGCAUUCAGAGCUCCACGGCGCAGCGGAUUCUGACGGUGGAAUGUGAAGAUAUGGCACGAGGCGCUGGAGUACGAUUCAAAGCUCCACGACGCAGCGGAAUCCGACGGUGGAGACAACGAUUCAGAGUACGGCACGGUGGACUCAGGGCGUAGGAGACAUCGAAUGGUGGGAAGAAGGUAUGAAGGAGGUUGCACGGUCAUGGCGGCGGACGAGGCUCUUCGAUUUGGGGUGAAGCGUUCCAGAUGUAGGAUUUGGGGUGAAUUUAGGGUUUCGAUUUUGGGGGUUCCAAACUUGCCCAAGUUUGAUUUGUU